Molecule: long non-coding RNA, 169 nt
Filed under: Sus scrofa (pig)
Lineage: Eukaryota; Metazoa; Chordata; Mammalia; Artiodactyla; Suidae
Description: lncRNA (ENSSSCG00065054344.1)
Source: RNAcentral
AGUGCCAGGAGCCAGCCCCAAACAAGAGCUCAUGUGACCAGUCUUCCUAAGUAGAGGCUUCCAAAGGUGAUGAAACAACUGGAUUCAACUACUGUGUAAUCAACUGUGGUCAGGUAAAGGUUUUUUAGUAUGAGAGCCUGAGAAUAAUAAAGGUGCAUUGGGAAGUGGU